RNAcentral lists this small RNA (178 nucleotides) under Chrysemys picta bellii (western painted turtle). Its description in RNAcentral is "TUC338 (ENSCPBG00000008558.1)". Lineage: Eukaryota; Metazoa; Chordata; Testudines; Emydidae. The record is from RNAcentral.
UCGAUAGUUCUGGAGACUGAAGUCCUCUAUUUAGCCACAGAACAAGUUUGUCAUGGGUGUCAGGUAAUUUAAGUUCCACACAUCAUCCUGCCAAUGUACAUCAACCCAAAUCUGAGGGGACCAUUAGUAAGGGCAAGGUGGUUACUCAAUCUCCAUGCUCACUCAGGCCUUGGACUCU